Molecule: ribosomal RNA, 1497 nt
Filed under: uncultured organism
Description: partial 16S ribosomal RNA
Rfam family: Bacterial small subunit ribosomal RNA
Source: RNAcentral
AGGGUUUGAUUCUGGCUCAGAUUGAACGCUGGCGGCGUGCCUAACACAUGCAAGUCGAGCGAGAACGGUCCCUUCGGGGACUCAGUAGAGCGGCGCACGGGUGAGUAACGCGUGGGUAAUCUGCCCUUCGGACUGGGAUAACAGCGGGAAACUGCUGCUAAUACCGGGUACGCUUCAUAUUUGACUUUAUGAGGGAAAGGCGGCCUCUGCUUGCAAGCUGCCGCCGAGGGAUGAGCCCGCGUCUCAUUAGCUUGUUGGUGGGGUAACGGCCCACCAAGGCUUCGAUGAGUAGCCGGCCUGAGAGGGUGGCCGGCCACACUGGAACUGAAACACGGUCCAGACUCCUACGGGAGGCAGCAGUGGGGAAUAUUGCGCAAUGGGGGAAACCCUGACGCAGCGACGCCGUGUGAGGGAAGAAGGCUUUCGGGUCGUAAACCUCUGUCAGGAGGGAAGAAACCCUUGAGGUCGAACAGGCCUCUUGGCUGACGGUACCUCCAGAGGAAGCACCGGCUAACUCCGUGCCAGCAGCCGCGGUAACACGGAGGGUGCAAGCGUUAAUCGGAAUCACUGGGCGUAAAGCGUACGUAGGCGGCGCGGACAGUCAGAUGUGAAAGCCCUCGGCUCAACCGAGGAAUUGCAUUUGAAACUGCCGUGCUUGAGUAUCGGAGAGGGCAGCGGAAUUCCGGGUGUAGGAGUGAAAUCCGUAGAUAUCAGGAAGAACACCUGUGGCGAAGGCGAGCUUCUGGCCAGAAACUGACGCUGAGGCGCGAAAGCGUGGGGAGCGAACAGGAUUAGAUACCCUGGUAGUCCACGCUGUAAACGAUGUGCACUAGGUGUUGGCUGUGAUAACGGUCAGUGCCGAAGCGAACGCGAUAAGUGCACCGCCUGGGGAGUAUGCUCGCAAGGGUGAAACUCAAAGGAAUUGACGGGGGCCCGCACAAGCGGUGGAGCAUGUGGUUUAAUUCGAUGAUACGCGAGGAACCUUACCAGGGUUUGACAUAUGGCGGACUGCGGCAGAGAUGUCGCUUCCCUUCGGGGCCGCCAUACAGGUGCUGCAUGGCUGUCGUCAGCUCGUGCUGUGAGGUGUUGGGUUAAGUCCCGCAACGAGCGCAACCCCUGCUGUCUGUUACCAGCACGUAAUGGUGGGGACUCAGGCGGUACUGCCGGUGACAAACCGGAGGAAGGUGGGGACGACGUCAAGUCCUCAUGCCCUUUAUAUCUCGGGCUACACACGUGCUACAAUGGUUGAUACAGAGGGGAGCAAAGCUGCGAAGUGGAGCAAAUCCUUGAAAAUCAAUCCCAGUUCGGAUUGCAGGCUGCAACUCGCCUGUAUGAAGUUGGAAUCGCUAGUAAUCGCAGGUCAGCAUACUGCGGUGAAUACGUUCCCGGGCCUUGUACACACCGCCCGUCACACCAAUCGAGUUGGAUGCACCAGAAGUCAUCUGCGGAUGCCAAAGGUGUGUCCGGUAAGAGGGGUGAAGUCGUAACAAGGUAGCC